RNAcentral lists this ribosomal RNA (468 nucleotides) under uncultured bacterium. RNAcentral's name for it is "partial 16S ribosomal RNA". It matches the Rfam family "Bacterial small subunit ribosomal RNA", at positions 28 to 507 of the family's 1533-position model. The record is from RNAcentral.
GACGAACGCUGGCGGCGUGCUUAACACAUGCAAGUCGAACGGAAAGGCCCUGCUUUUGUGGGGUGCUCGAGUGGCGAACGGGUGAGUAACACGUGAGUAACCUGCCCUUGUCUUUGGGAUAACUUCAGGAAACUGGGGCUAAUACCGGAUAGGAGCUCCUGCUGCAUGGUGGGGGUUGGAAAGUUUCGGCGGUUGGGGAUGGACUCGCGGCUUAUGAGCUGGUUGGUGGGGUAGUGGCUUACCAAGGCUUUGACGGGUAGCCGGCCUGAGAGGGUAACCGGCCACAUUGGGACUGAGAUACGGCCCAGACUCCUACGGGAGGCAGCAGGGGGGAAUAUUGCACAAUGGGCGGAAGCCUGAUGCAGCAACGCCGCGUGCGGGAUGACGGCCUUCGAGGUGUAAACCGCUUUCGCCUGUGACGAAGCGUGCGUGACGGUAAUGGGUAAAGAAGCACCGGCUAACUACGUG